Long non-coding RNA from Dromaius novaehollandiae (emu), 805 nucleotides. RefSeq lists it as uncharacterized. Lineage: Eukaryota; Metazoa; Chordata; Aves; Casuariiformes; Dromaiidae. The record is from RefSeq and is a predicted model, not a curated record. The transcript has 6 exons.
GGUCGCAGGCAGGGAAGGAGCGCUGGCUGCAGGCCAUGCUCAGCCAAGGAGACCAGGGGCCCCGGGUCACCCGAAUGCCCUCCCUUGGGUUCCUCGUGGACGCCCUCAGCUUCUCGCAACCUGUAAGUGCCGCCGGGGUUUCCGUUCUGCCAAGAGAGCAACGUGGCUUUUGGAAACAGCCCCUGGGAUGAGCCGCUCACCUUGGCUCUUUGUUCUCUUGCCUACGGGGCUGAGGUCAAGCAGUACCCCAUCUGGGUCCCACCAGCUAUUGCAGAGGGUCUUUGCCACUCAACAGAGCUGCCUUCUGAAGAGCUUAGGCAGCAGGUAAUCGAGCUGCAGGGGAAGUGCCAGAAACGUGAAGUUCUGCACAGAUCACCCUCUCCCCUCACCAUGGAGACAGCAACAGGUGGAGAUGGGGCUGCACAGGCGGGACAAGGAUAGGUGUUUGACUUUGACGUGGCAGUCAAGCCAGUGCUGGAAGUGUUGAUUGGCACCGCUGUUGAUUAAGCUCUACUGGAACUCGUGGUGGAGGACGAGCUGGCUUACCGGUGGGAACAGCAGUGCGUGUAUAUUGACUGGCAAAAUGCAGAGCUGGCUGAGCGCCUGGAAGAGCAGGAGAGGUGAUACAGAGAGGAGAAGAUAUUGAGAUAGAAUUCCUUCCCUGCUGGAUGGUGGAAGUGUAAGAAGCAUUGGAGAAGAGGGCUCUGGGGAGGACAGUGCUUGACUGUAACCGAAGCAAAUGAAAACCAGCUCCCAAGAGCCUGUCGUUCAUCCUUAAGAAUAAACAAUUCCUUUGUCUUGUUUU